UCCCUGCUGGCUCAGAGGUUAAAGCGUCUGCCUGCAAUGCAGGAGAUCCAGGUUCAAUCCCUCGGUGGGGAA
This 72-nucleotide transfer RNA is filed under the name Ovis aries (sheep). It matches the Rfam family "tRNA". Rfam says of the family: Transfer RNA (tRNA) molecules are approximately 80 nucleotides in length. Their secondary structure includes four short double-helical elements and three loops (D, anti-codon, and T loops). Further hydrogen bonds mediate the characteristic L-shaped molecular structure. tRNAs have two regions of fundamental functional importance: the anti-codon, which is responsible for specific mRNA codon recognition, and the 3' end, to which the tRNAs corresponding amino acid is attached (by aminoacyl-tRNA synthetases). tRNAs cope with the degeneracy of the genetic code in two manners: having more than one tRNA (with a specific anti-codon) for a particular amino acid; and 'wobble' base-pairing, i.e. permitting non-standard base-pairing at the 3rd anti-codon position. The record is from Rfam by way of RNAcentral. Lineage: Eukaryota; Metazoa; Chordata; Mammalia; Artiodactyla; Bovidae.